AAGACUAUACUUCACAGAAUCAUUUCUGUCUGUCUUAAUUUCCAUUUUUGGAAAUCGAUUCGCGAUGACGAGGUAUAUCGUUUUAUCUGACAGCGUGAGGUUUAAGAAGUUCAUUUCUAAUUUGGUCUUAUGGUAUAUUAGAAAUGAAGAAGAAGUUUCUUCGAAAAUCGUUCGCUUACAACGGAUAAAAGGGCUGCUGAGUGGU
This is a small nucleolar RNA of Bactrocera dorsalis (oriental fruit fly), 205 nucleotides long. RefSeq annotates it as small nucleolar RNA U3. The record is from RefSeq and is a predicted model, not a curated record. NCBI's taxonomy places the organism in Eukaryota, Metazoa, Arthropoda, Insecta, Diptera, Tephritidae. The transcript has a single exon.